GGGGAUGGAGGAAUCCCAGAGGUUGGCCCCGUCUGAGAAGGCUGGAGGUUAGGGUAGGAAGAGGUAAGGGUUUGGGAAGGUAGUUCUAGGCUGACUGAAGAGUGUGAGCAAAAGCAGAGGCAGAUGGCAAUAAUGUCCAGGUUGUGGAACAUUAGCUCAUUGGGCUUGCUAAUGCAGCACCCAUGAAUGAAAUUUACCCUCUUCCUCUCAGAUAGCUCCUGCACUCAAUAACUCCCAUUUAGGGCACACUGUGCAUAAAGCUCCCAACCAUGAAGAGCAGGGAGGAUCUGCCUCUAACAGUCAGGUAACUCACAAAGACUGGAAGGAAGUGACUGGGUUACACAUGGCCAGUUUCUUCUCCAAACUCAAUAAUUGGGUAACUCUCUGCCUCCUCAUCUGAGAACAAGGGAGUGGGAGGGAGGCAAACAAGAAAAGAGAAGAAGCAGUGGAGAAAGGAGACGUUCUGCAGUGCCAGGCUUCUUGCCCCACACUCUUCCCAAAUGUCAACAUAGUUCCUUUAGGGGAAAAAAGUGGGAGGCUAGAAUGGUAGGACAGGGCCACAAUAUGGAAGUGAAAAACCAGGGGCAGUUUCCUGAGCAGGGAAUGAUGUCAUUCGAUCUAUAAUUCAGUCUGGUUAAUCUACUUAUGCAACACCAAUUGAAGGACACACUUAGAUAACUCAGCCUUGAGUCAACAAAUCUUGUGUAACACUGCCA
This 716-nucleotide long non-coding RNA is filed under the name Homo sapiens (human). RNAcentral's name for it is "HSALNT0066088". Lineage: Eukaryota; Metazoa; Chordata; Mammalia; Primates; Hominidae. The record is from RNAcentral.